AAUGAACGCUGGCGGCGUGCCUAACACAUGCAAGUCGAGCGAGAAAGUCUCUUCGGAGAUAAGUACAGCGGCGGACGGGUGAGUAACGCGUGAGAAUUUACCCUUUAGUGAAGAAUACCUCUGAGAAAUCAGGGUUAAUGCUGCAUACGUCCCUACGGGGAGAAAGGUGGCCUCUUUGCUGCCGCUAAAGGAUAAGCUUGCGUACUAUUAGCUAGUUGGUGAGGUAAAGGCUCACCAAGGCGAUGAUGGUUAGCCGGCCUGAGAGGGUGUACGGCCACACUGGAACUUAGACACGGUCCAGACUCCUACGGGAGGCAGCAGUGAGGAAUAUUGCGCAAUGGGCGAAAGCCUGACGCAGCGACGCCGCGUGGAGGAUGAAGGUCUUCGGAUUGUAGACUCCUGUUAAGUGGGAAGAAAGACCUAUUUCUAAUACAGAUAGGGGAUGACGGUCCCAUUAGAGAAAGCACCGGCUAAACUUCGUGCCAGCAGCCGCGGUAAU
RNAcentral lists this ribosomal RNA (499 nucleotides) under uncultured bacterium. RNAcentral's name for it is "bacterial SSU rRNA". It matches the Rfam family "Bacterial small subunit ribosomal RNA", at positions 29 to 524 of the family's 1533-position model. The record is from RNAcentral.